CAUUUCGGGUUUUCAAUAAAUUUCAAAUCCAUGUGUAAUUAAAUUCAAAUAACUUACUUAAAUUUAAUUUUGUGAUUAUGUGAUUAAAUUGUAUAAUAGGUAAAUUACUUCUCUAUAAAUACAUAUAUGUAUAUUUUUUUUGUCAUAGGUUUUACCCGAUAUAUUUACGUUUAUUCCUACAGUUUUUGAACAAAACAAUAGGGAAGUGUCUAGCUGAUUUUUUUCUAAGUAUGUAAAAAGAAAUUUAAUUUAUAUUUGCAUACUGAACAAUUUUAAACGAAGUUUGGUUAAACAAAUGUUUAAAAGUUACGAUUUUUUUCGUGAAUUUUUGGCGGGUUACAAUUUUAUCCACAUAUAUAUUACCAUAGAAACUGGUAUUACUAGAUCAGCAGAGCAUCUCACAGUGUGACUCAGCAAAAUAUCUAGGAAUGCACCUGGACUCUCGGCUCAACCUGAAACACCACGUUAGAUAGAAAAACCUGCAAAUUAAGAAGAAAAUGCAACAACUAUAUUGGCUAGUCGGAAAACAUUCCGAAAUAGACCUCAUAAGCAAACGCCUCUUGUACGUAAUGAUAAUUAAACCAAUAUGGACUUACGGGAAUUUAACUGUGGGGUUAUACCAGCAAGUCAAAUAUUGAGAUUAUACAACGUUGCCGCAGCUUACCGGUAUGACAGAAACAACAUUAUGUGAAUAAUGUCGUUUCUCAGUGGCGAAAUAUGAUGAUCACCUUCAUCCAGAACGAGAUUACCAAGUUUGCCCGCAAACAUGAAAAAAAACUGGAUCAACAAACCAAUCCAGCAGCAAUUCAACUAGACAUUAGGCGUCUCAAACAUCAAACACCAUAUGGCUUAGGCUAAGAUCGGGGCCACUCCACUGGGAGUGAGAUUCCACACGUUUAUUUUUUUUUUUUUUGUAUAUAAAUACAUCACAAGUAUUUAUGUACGUCUCUGAUAAUGUAUUGUUAAAGAUUUAUUUUGAUCGUUAUAAUAAAAGCUUUCGG
This is a non-coding RNA of Cinara cedri, 1001 nucleotides long. The record is from the annotation of a GenBank genome assembly. NCBI's taxonomy places the organism in Eukaryota, Metazoa, Arthropoda, Insecta, Hemiptera, Aphididae.